AGCGAACGCUGGCGGCAGGCCUAACACAUGCAAGUCGAACGAACUCUUCGGAGUUAGUGGCGGACGGGUGAGUAACACGUGGGAACGUGCCUUUUGGUUCGGAAUAACUCAGGGAAACUUGUGCUAAUACCGAAUGUGCCCUUCGGGGGAAAGAUUUAUCGCCAUUAGAGCGGCCCGCGUCUGAUUAGCUAGUUGGUGAGGUAACGGCUCACCAAGGCGACGAUCAGUAGCUGGUCUGAGAGGAUGAGCAGCCACACUGGGACUGAGACACGGCCCAGACACCUACAGGAGGCAGCAGUAGGGACUCUUCCGCAAUGGGCGAGAGCCUGACGGAGCAACGCCGAGUGAGUUCUGAAGGUCUUAUGAUCGUAAACCUCUGUUAUUAGGGAAGAACAAAAGUGUAAGUAACUAUGCACGUCUUGACGGUACCUAAUCAGAAAGCCACGGCUAACUACGUG
This 458-nucleotide ribosomal RNA is filed under the name uncultured bacterium. RNAcentral describes it as "partial 16S ribosomal RNA". It matches the Rfam family "Bacterial small subunit ribosomal RNA", at positions 29 to 507 of the family's 1533-position model. The record is from RNAcentral.